This 253-nucleotide ribosomal RNA is filed under the name uncultured bacterium. Its description in RNAcentral is "partial 16S ribosomal RNA". It matches the Rfam family "Bacterial small subunit ribosomal RNA", at positions 524 to 776 of the family's 1533-position model. The record is from RNAcentral.
UACAGAGACUGCGAGCGUUAUUCGGAUUCACUGGGCGUAAAGGGUGCGCAGGCGGCCAAGUGUGUGAGGUGUGAAAGCCCGGGGCUUAACCCCGGAAUUGCACCUCAAACUACAUGGCUAGAGCAUUGGAGAGGGUAGCAGAAUUCACGGUGUAGCAGUGAAAUGCGUAGAUAUCGUGAGGAAUACCAGAGGCGAAGGCGGCUACCUGGACAAUUGCUGACGCUCAGGCACGAAAGCGUGGGGAGCAAACAGG